AUACAUAUGUGAAUGGAAUUCACAUAUGUGUGAUUGAAAUUCACGUAUGAGUGAAAUUCACGUAUGAGUGAAUUUCAUUCACCUACAGGUGAAUUUCAUUCACGUAUGGGU
Molecule: microRNA precursor, 111 nt
Filed under: Melampsora larici-populina 98AG31
Lineage: Eukaryota; Fungi; Basidiomycota; Pucciniomycetes; Pucciniales; Melampsoraceae
Description: microRNA MIR807
Source: RNAcentral